Non-coding RNA from Microcebus murinus (gray mouse lemur), 678 nucleotides. The record is from RefSeq and is a predicted model, not a curated record. NCBI's taxonomy places the organism in Eukaryota, Metazoa, Chordata, Mammalia, Primates, Cheirogaleidae.
AGAAUGUAGGCUCUGGGACUGAAGCUAUUCCAUGAGUAUGUGAAGCCUGACAAGAGAGGUUGCACCAGGGGUCAGAUGCUACUCCUCUCAAUGCUGUCUUCAGGCAGGGGGUCAGGCUGAAGAAGUCCCAACCCUAUGGUACUUGGCUGAUGGCCGUGGGAGGUGGAAAGAAGAGAGAAAUCAUGCACUGGCUCUUAAAGGCUUUCGCCCAAAGGGAACACAGGUCACCUCCAUACAUAUUUCAUCGACCAGUGCAAAUCUGAGGAUCACGUUCAACUUCUCGGAGCCAGGAAAGAUGCAAUCUUACCACGUACCCAGCAGAAGAGAGGGAUGAAUGACACUAAUGAAGACCACUGAGAAUUUCAAGGCCUCUUCCCUGCUCCCCAGCCCUUUGUCUGAAGUGCAACAGAACAUGACCUUUGUAAGAGAACAGAAUACUCUUUCAAAAAAUAAUCAUGACUGCGUUGAAGCAUAAAUCUUUCAGCUGGUGGUAUGAGAAAGUUUCAUCUUUAAACCUAAUCCAACAGACCAUAACACCGGAAUACCUUUGUCCUUAAGACUACUUAGGGUUGGAAGCUCAGAGUCCUGAGCAUGUGGAACUUUGCAUUUUCAUCACUGUGAGGAGUCGGGCUUGACCUUGAGCAGUGUUAUCUUCAAGUCUUUCAAAGAGUCAUUAAA